AAGAUUUUAAGUUAAUUAAACUAAUAACCUUCAAAGUUAUAAAUAUAGAAGAUUCUUUAAAUCUUA
This 66-nucleotide transfer RNA is filed under the name Hemerobius simulans. RNAcentral's name for it is "tRNA-Trp". Lineage: Eukaryota; Metazoa; Arthropoda; Insecta; Neuroptera; Hemerobiidae. The record is from RNAcentral.